ACCUGAUAUACCCUUGGGGCACUAGAGAGCUCUGAUGCAUCUUCUUGAUUACGAGUGAAGAUCCCACUCCCUGUUAUCUCCUUCAUCUUAUGUUCUGAGCAAGGCUUCCUGAUCCCAAGACAAACAACAAAUUUCACAGGGCCUACAGACAAUUUGAGGAUAAUCAACAAUGCAAAUCAUCAAGAAUAAUUAAAACAAGUCACAGCCACAAAGAUGAAUCCAAGGAAACAGUACAGAUUCAAAUGAUUUGGGGUCACUCUUAGACACAAAAUUAGAAACUAAAUUGAGAAGAAAACCAAAAAUGAUAAAAGGAGGAAACUUUUGUUUUACCUUUUGUUCAAGCUCUCAACUUCUUCAUCAGUGACUUGACCACCAAAGACAACUCUGCUAACCCCAUCAGAUGGCUACACAUACAACAAGACAAAAUCCCAUAAAGAGGGAAACUGAAAAAGAAAAAAAAACAAGAAAGUGUUGAACUUUUUUGUGUUGUACCUGGUGAGAUCGAACGGCGGAGGAGCGAGAAGCGGAGGAAGGAGAAUCCGACGGUGGAGCUUCCGACCAAGUGAGUAGAUCUGCGGUUGAUGUGUGCGGCUUUCUCACUGGAGUGGUUCUCUCCAUAUUUGUUUUUUUUUUUUUUUCUGAGCGGAAUCUAAAAGGCUGAUGCUUUUUUUUUAUUGUUAAA
Molecule: long non-coding RNA, 682 nt
Organism: Raphanus sativus (radish)
Lineage: Eukaryota; Viridiplantae; Streptophyta; Magnoliopsida; Brassicales; Brassicaceae
Exons: 2
Source: RefSeq, a predicted model, not a curated record